This 627-nucleotide ribosomal RNA is filed under the name uncultured bacterium. RNAcentral describes it as "bacterial SSU rRNA". It matches the Rfam family "Bacterial small subunit ribosomal RNA", at positions 8 to 658 of the family's 1533-position model. The record is from RNAcentral.
AGAGUUUGAUCAUGGCUCAGGAUGAACGCUGGCGGUAUGUUUAAGGCAUGCAAGUCUAAGGUGCUCUUCGGAGUGCCUGGCAAACGGGAGAGUAACACAUUGGUAACCUUCCCCUAACUCAAGUAUAACCUCGUGAAAACGUGGACAAUCCUUGAUAGUCCAUAAUUUAAAUGCAAAUUUAUUUUAUGGUAAAGAUUUAUCGGUUAGGGCUGGGCCUAUGGCUUAUCAGCUUGUUGGUGAGGUAAAAGCUUACCAAGGCUAUGACGAGUAGCGGGCGUGAGAGCGUGACCCGUCUCACUGGAACUGAGACACUGUCCAGACUCCUACGGGAGGCUGCAGUCAAGAAUCUUUCGCAAUGGCCGAAAGGCUGACGGAGCAAUACCGCGUGGAGGAAGACACCCCUCGGGGCGUAAACUUCUUUUCUAAAGGAUGAAUUCGUGACGUUACUUUAGGAAUAAGCAACUGCUAACUUCGUGCCAGCAGCAGCGGUAAUACGAAGGUUGCAAGCGUUAUCCGGAAUUAUUGGGCGUAAAGCGUCUGUAGGUGGUUUAUCAAGUUUCAAAUUAAAACUCUAAGCUCAACUUAGAGUUAGUUUGAAAAACUGACAAACUAGAGAAUGGGAGAGGU